UUAUGUCACAGUAAAAAAUAAAAAUUGAAAUAUUUACCUGACAAAAAUCAUCAAAAAUGCUGAUUUGGGAGAUUUGAAUCGCGAAAUUAAGCACUCUGUGACGUGCAAUUGUGCUAAUAGUGUACUUCCGAACGCGAAAUAACCACAUAAAAUAACAAUUAAAAUGAAUUCAACGAAAUAUUCCAUAGUGAAUAAUAAUGGCAGUCAAGCUGCUGGCUCCAAAAACAUGACAACAAAAUGGGAGAAAUUUUGUUUGUUAAUGUGGAAGAACUUCCUGCUGCAAUGGCGUCACAAAAUCCAAACGCUCCUCGAAAUUUUUAUUCCUGCCUUAUUCAGCAUGCUGGUUGUGAUGAUCCGAAGUCUCGUGGAUCCCGAUGUGUAUGACGAGGCGACAAUUUACAAGCCAUUGGGGCUCAGUAGCAUGCGUGAAUUGACAAAAAUUCCGAAAUUUCAGUUGAAAUUCUUCAAAGAAAUUAAUGAUCGCUUUAAGAAACAAGGUUUGGACAAUAUUAACUUUGAAAUGGUUUAUUCGCCGAAAAAUCCUGUGUUGGAAAAUUUCGUGCAACGAGUUAGGAAGAAUAUUUUUGACUUUCCCCUCAUUGGCGACGAGACAGUUAAGGGUUUGGAUAAUGCGACAGCUCUCGAAAGUUACAUGGUGAGCAAAAAUCCGUUGGUUGGACUUGAAAUGGAUGAUGCGUAUCAGAAUAUUACGCAGAUGCCGACUGUUUUGAAAUACGCAAUUCGACUUCCGGGUGAAUUACGGACGACUUUUGGGCCGAUGUGGGCAAAUUGGCGAACGGACUUUUUGUUUCCUUUUAUUCAACAAGGCGGCGCGAGGAAUAAAGAGUAUGAUGAUGGAGGAGUGCCGCCCGGAUAUUACAGAGAAUCCUUUUUGACAUUGCAAAAUGCCGUUUUUAAGACUUUUGCGAAUAUCACAGCUGGCGAUGCUAAUACCACACUGCCUGAGAAUUUUAUAAGACGUUUUCCGUACCCUCCAUUCACGGGCGACCCCUUAUUACAAGCCAUGGAACGAAUGCUGUCAAUUUUCAUCCUCCUGUCCUUCGUCUAUCCCUGCAUCAACAUGGUCAAAUUCAUCACAAUCGAGAAGGAAAAGCAACUUAAAGAGUCAAUGAAGAUCAUGGGCCUCCCAAAUUGGUUGCAUUGGAGUGCGUGGUUCGUCAAAUGCUUUAUUUACCUCUUUUUUGCCACACUCGUCAUGUUGGUUCUCAUGAAGGCGCAUUGGUAUUCCAACAUGAAUGUCACCGUUUUCACGCAUUCCGGCUUUUUCGUCUUGUGGUUCUACCUGAUGGUCUAUGGCGUGGCAACAAUCAUGUUUUGCUUCCUGCUUUCCGUGUUUUUUUCGAAAGCAAAUACCGCCGCAGCAGUCGCCGGGUUAUUAUGGUUCGUGACAUAUGCCCCGUUUUCGCUUACGAUUCAAAGGUACGACAGCGUCACUUUUGGUCAAAAAAUUGCAGCGAGUUUUUUCUCGAAUGCCGCUAUGGGAUUUGGAUUUUUGCUGAUUUUGCGACAUGAGGGCAACACCGAAGGCCUGCAAUGGAGCAAUUUGUUCGAACAAGUGAACAUUGAGGAUGACUAUACGGUUGGGCAUACUGUCGUAAUGAUGCUCGUGUCAUCCGUGAUUUACUUCGUGUUGGCAUUAUACGUCGAAAAAGUGCUGCCCGGCGAAUUUGGCGUCGCCGAACCGUGGUAUUUUCCGUUUACCCGAACGUUUUGGUGCGGCGAACCCGGAUUUCAAGGCAUUGAGGACAUAAAUUCGCCCGUUUUGAAUGGCGAGGAUGAAGUUGAUGUCGAAACCGAGCCAAUUGGGAAACAUGCGGGCAUUGAAACAAAAGGCCUGCGAAAAGUCUAUCGAAAUAAAAAGACAGCUGUUAAAGGAUUGACCUUGAAAAUGUUCGAUGAUGAGAUCACAGUGCUUCUCGGACACAAUGGCGCGGGAAAAACCACAACAAUGGCAAUGUUAACGGGAAUGAUACCCCCGACAGCGGGAAAUGCGAUCGUUAAUGGCUUCGAUAUCCGUAAAAAUUUGAAUGCCGUGAGGAAUUCGCUUGGAAUUUGUUUCCAACAUAACGUUUUGUUCGAUGAAUUGACAGUUGCGGAGCACAUUGAGUUCUUUGCGCGUCUAAAAGGACUCCGGAAACACGAAAUUAAGGACGAAAUUCAACAUUACGUUGAAUUAUUGCAAUUACAGGACAAAAUAAACGCCCAAGCUCAUACACUAUCCGGCGGGAUGCAACGAAAAUUGUCCAUUGGCAUCGCUUUGUGUGCGAAUUCGAAGGUUGUUUUGUGCGAUGAGCCCACUUCCGGUGUCGAUCCGAGUGCAAGACGUGCCUUAUGGGAUUUACUACUUGCCGAGAAGAAAGGACGAACGAUUUUGCUGAGUACGCAUUUUAUGGAUGAAGCGGAUAUCUUGGGGGAUCGCAUCGCGAUUAUGAACGAAGGCGCGUUAAAAGCUGUUGGAUCGCCAUUUUACUUGAAAAAACGCUAUGGAACGGGAUAUCGCUUGGUAAUUGCUAAAAAUAAGGCCUGUGAAACUCCAAAAGUCACGCAAUUGCUGCAAAAGUACGUCACAGAUAUUGAAGUUAAAACCGACAUCGGUAGUGAGCUGAGUUAUCAACUUUAUACAAAAGAUUCCGCCAUUUUUAAAGAUAUGCUGAAAGAUUUGGAGGAAAAUUCAGAAGAACUUAAACUCAACAGUUAUGGCAUCUCAAUGGCUACUUUGGAGGAAGUUUUCAUGUCAAUCGGUACGGAUGAACAAAAGAACGGAACUGCUGAAAAUGGCAAUGGGCACAUCCCAAAUGGACAUGCGACAGUUGUUGAUAUUGAAAAGAAGCUCGUGCCUGAAGUGGAUUUAGUUACAGGCUCAAAAUUGCUUCUUUAUCAAAUUCAAGGGUUGUUUGCGAAGAAAAUUUUGCAUACGAGACGACAUUUUGUUCUGAUGUUCUUGCAAAAUUUGAUUCCCGUCACUUUUUUGAUCAUUUGUAUUGUGAUAGUGCGUUCGUGGGGCGGCAAUAAGGAUCUGCCAGCGUUAAAUUUGGUGCCGGAAAAGUACGAUCCAACUGUCACGUUGCUCGAGCAGAAUAGUUCGUGGAGUUAUGAUGACUUUUCGAACAGCAUUAUCCUCUACUACCAGAAGCUAAUCCAGCGAAAUCCGUCGCAACAAGAAUUCAUCAAGGCUGGUCAAGACAUGAACGCUUAUUAUCUAAAGAUAUCCCGUGAAAAAAUCGCUCGUGUCAACAAACGUUACAUGUUCGGCGCAAGUAUCAACAAGUCUCACAUCACGGCAUGGUUCAACAAUCAACCGUAUCACACGGCACCCAUCAGCUUGGGAUUAGUGCAUAACGCAACGCUAAUGGCAUUGUGUGAAAAUGACACCUGCGGCAUCGAUAUCACGAACAAACCUCUCCCAUAUCGCCUGGAAACGCGUUUCGACAUGAUGCAGGCGGGCAACAACCUUGGAUUUCAACUGGCUUUUAACGUGGGUUUCGCAAUGUCAUUUGUGGCGGCGUUUUAUGUCAUCUUUUACAUCAAAGAACGGAUUUCGCGGAGCAAACUUUUGCAAUUUGUCAGUGGCGUGAAUAUCGCUUCGUACUGGAUCACGGGAUUUUUAUGGGAUUAUUUCACGUUUUUCUGCACGGCUGUCAUCUCGUUACUAACAAUUUUCGUUUUUCAAGAAACGGGAUGGUCGACAGUGCCCGAGAUGGGUCGAUGUUUGCUUGUGCUGAUGUGCUUCAUAUGGGCCGUGUUACCCUUCACUUACCUCGCUUCGUUGCUAUUUACCGCCCCCGCUACUGGAUUUACGCGUUUGAGCAUCAUUUACAUCUUUUCGGGAGUUGCCGUGUUCACAGUUGUCUUCACCAUGAGCUUCGAAGGAUUCAAAUUGAAAGACACCGCCGACUUAUUUACGAAUAUUUUCCUCAUUUUUCCACAUUUUGCCUUGAGUGACAGCUUAAGCAACUUAAAUAUCCUCAAUACGGUCAUCUCGGUGUGUGAUAAACGUUGCUCCUUACUCCCAAACUGCAAAAUGGAGGAACUCUGUAAGGCACAUCCGCUUUUCGCGCGUUGCUGUGAACGAAAUUUCUUCAAAUGGGACGAUCCCGGCAUCGGCAAGAACCUUUUUUACAUGAUCCUGACCGGAAUAACGACAUUUACGAUAUUGCUGAUGCACGAAUAUCGCAUUUUUGAGAUGAUUUUCUACAAAGGAGUGCAUUUAUACAAAGGACCACCGAUUCCCGAGACGGAGGACGACAUCCUCGAUCAAGAUGUGAAAGACGAAAAAAAUCGCAUUAACGCGAUGGAGCCCGAACAAAUCGUUUCAACGAAUUUAGUGCUGAAAAAUAUGACAAAAUUCUACAAUCGCUUAUUGGCUGUUAACCAAACUUGUGUCGGAGUCGCCGAAAAUGAGUGUUUCGGGCUGUUGGGCAUUAAUGGAGCCGGCAAGUCAAGUACCUUCAAAAUGCUCUGUGGAGACGAGAAAAUUUCGUAUGGCGAGGCUUAUGUGCAAGGCGCGAGUUUAAAGACGAAUAUGAAGGAGGUUUACAAGCGAAUUGGGUAUUGCCCGCAAUUUGAUGCGACAAUAGAUGAACUCACAGGACGAGAAACCUUGAGAAUUUUCUCGCUAUUCCGAGGAGUGCCGAAAAAUCGAAUUGAUGAAAUAACGUUGACCUUGGCGAAUGAGCUGAAUUACACAAGACAUUUGGAUAAAAAGGUCCGUGAGUACAGCGGAGGGAAUAAACGGAAGUUAAGUACGUCAAUAGCGCUCUUGGGACGCCCAAGUGUCAUCUUGUUGGAUGAACCAACUACAGGCAUGGAUCCGCUGGCUAAACGUAAUUUCUGGAAUGCAAUUUGUAAGAUACGGGAUCAAGGAAAGACAAUUGUACUUACUACUCAUAGUAUUGAAGAAGCAGAAGCCCUGUGUACUCGCCUUUGUAUAAUGGUAAAUGGCGAAUUCAAGUGCUUGGGUUCAUCCCAACAUCUCAAAAGCAAAUUCUCACAAGGAUACGUCCUCACAGUGAAAGUAGGGCGUAAAAGACAAUCGUCCCCGGAUCGUGCCUCGUCCUCUAUCAACAAUAACACCGAAAAUAGUACUUUAGUUUAUGAUUUAAUCGAAUUGAAUGCCAUUAAGGAGUUUGUUAAGACGAAAUUUCCUUUAUCGAUACUCAAAGAAGAGUAUCAAGGACUCCUAACGUACCAUAUUCCCUUAGCUGCCUUGAAAUGGUACGAGCUCUUUGGAAUUCUUGAAGAAGCAAAAAGUGAUGCAAGCCUAAAUAUUGAAGAUUAUUCAAUUGGACAAACGUCAAUGGAGCAAGUCUUUUUGUCGUUUACCAAGUAUCAACGGGAAGACAAUCUCGUCAAGUGAAAAUCACGAAAAAUCUCGAAUUUUUACUCGAAUUUAUGUUAAAUUAAUUAAAUUUUAAGAGUUACUGUGGGUAUUGAUAGGAACUGAUUUAAAAAUGAAAACAAACGUAUUGAAUUUUUUGUGAUAAUUUGAUGUAAAAAAUAAAAAAAAAACAGGUAUAACGUUUGAAUUAAUCCUAAUUUUAUGAAAAAUUGAAC
RNA transcript from Culicoides brevitarsis, 5574 nucleotides. It is a transcript of the gene named phospholipid-transporting ATPase ABCA1-like, with no coding region annotated. Lineage: Eukaryota; Metazoa; Arthropoda; Insecta; Diptera; Ceratopogonidae. The record is from RefSeq and is a predicted model, not a curated record. The transcript is spliced from 9 exons.